Molecule: ribosomal RNA, 506 nt
Filed under: uncultured bacterium
Lineage: Bacteria
Description: bacterial SSU rRNA
Rfam family: Bacterial small subunit ribosomal RNA
Source: RNAcentral
GGGGAGUACGACCGCAAGGUUGAAACUCAAAGGAAUUGACGGGGGCCCGCACAAGCAGUGGAGUAUGUGGUUUAAUUCGAAGCAACGCGAAGAACCUUACCAGGUCUUGACAUCCCGUGCAUAGCUCAGAGAUGAGUGAAGUCCUUCGGGACACGGAGACAGGUGGUGCAUGGUUGUCGUCAGCUCGUGUCGUGAGAUGUUGGGUUAAGUCCCGCAACGAGCGCAACCCUUAUCGUUAGUUACUACGCAAGAGGACUCUAGCGAGACUGCCGUUGACAAAACGGAGGAAGGUGGGGAUGACGUCAAAUCAUCAUGCCCUUUAUGACCUGGGCUACACACGUACUACAAUGGCAAUUAACAAAGAGAAGCGAAGCCGCGAGGUGGAGCAAACCUCAUAAAAAUUGUCUCAGUUCAGAUUGCAGGCUGCAACUCGCCUGCAUGAAGUCGGAAUUGCUAGUAAUCGCGGAUCAGCAUGCCGCGGUGAAUACGUUCCCGGGCUUGUACAC